UGGCAAGCAGAGUGUUACAUCAGAGAUCAUUUCAAGUAUGAGACUUGUGAUGGCCGAGGGCUCAAAUAAUUCUUCCAAUAAUUCUUUCUUGUUAGAUGAUGAUUCCAGCAUUCCAUUUUUGGUCGAUGAUAUCUCAAAGUCAAUGACAGAAAUAGAUAUAGCAGAUAUCGAUCCACCGCCUUUCCUUUGUCAGAGUUCGGGCUUUGCAUUUUUGGCACAAUGAAAGUCGCAAAUGUUACCCUCCUGUUUAU
Zingiber officinale is the source of this 251-nucleotide long non-coding RNA. RefSeq lists it as uncharacterized. NCBI's taxonomy places the organism in Eukaryota, Viridiplantae, Streptophyta, Magnoliopsida, Zingiberales, Zingiberaceae. The record is from RefSeq and is a predicted model, not a curated record. The transcript is spliced from 3 exons.